Molecule: transfer RNA, 75 nt
Rfam family: tRNA
About the family: Transfer RNA (tRNA) molecules are approximately 80 nucleotides in length. Their secondary structure includes four short double-helical elements and three loops (D, anti-codon, and T loops).
Source: Rfam
GGACCCGUAGCUCAGCUAGGAUGGAGCGCCGGCCUUCGGAGCCGGUGGUCCCGGGUUCAAAUCCCGGCGGGUCCG